RNAcentral lists this ribosomal RNA (650 nucleotides) under uncultured fungus. RNAcentral's name for it is "eukaryotic LSU rRNA". It matches the Rfam family "Eukaryotic large subunit ribosomal RNA", at positions 23 to 641 of the family's 3401-position model. The record is from RNAcentral. Lineage: Eukaryota; Fungi.
ACCCGCUGAACUUAAGCAUAUCAAUAAGCGGAGGAAAAGAAACCAACAGGGAUUGCCUCAGUAACGGCGAGUGAAGCGGCAAGAGCUCAAAUUUAAAAGCUGACGUAGCUUUAAGAGACGUCCGCAUUGUAAUUUGAAGAGGCAUUCUCGGGUCGGGGCCCAGGCCUAAGUUCCUUGGAAGAGGGCGUCGUGGAGGGUGAGAACCCCGUUCGCGGCCUGCUGUCGACCUUUCCCCGAUCCACACGAGGUGCCAUCGAAGAGUCGAGUUGUUUGGGAAUGCAGCUCAAAGCGGGUGGUAAAUUCCAUCUAAAGCUAAAUAUUGACGGGAGACCGAUAGCGAACAAGUAGAGUGAUCGAAAGAUGAAAAGCACUUUGGAAAGAGAGUUAAACAGCACGUGAAAUUGUUGAAAGGGAAGCGCUUGAGACCAGUCACGGACCGAGGCGAUCAGUGGGACGUCCCUCUCGGGGGAGGAACCGCGCACUCGCUUUUCGGGUUUUCCGGGUCAACAUCGGUUGGGACGGUGUCAGAAAGGUCGCGGGAACGUGGCUCCCUUCACGGGGAGUGUUAUAGCCCGUGGCGUCAAAGUCGCCAGUUUCGACCGAGGACCGCGCUCGUCUUUUUCGAGCAAGGAUGUUGACGUAAUGGUCCC